GACGAACGCUGGCUGCGUGCUUAACACAUGCAAGUCGAACGGAAAGGCCCUGCUUUUGUGGGGUGCUCGAGUGGCGAACGGGUGAGUAACACGUGAGUAACCUGCCCUUGACUUUGGGAUAACUUCAGGAAACUGGGGCUAAUACCGGAUAGGAGCUCCUGCUGCAUGGUGGGGGUUGGAAAGUUUCGGCGGUUGGGGAUGGACUCGCGGCGUAUCAGCUUGUUGGUGGGGUAGUGGCUUACCAAGGCUUUGACGGGUAGCCGGCCUGAGAGGGUGACCGGCCACAUUGGGACUGAGAUACGGCCCAGACUCCUACGGGAGGCAGCAGUGGGGAAUAUUGCACAAUGGGCGGAAGCCUGAUGCAGCAACGCCGCGUGCGGGAUGACGGCCUUCGGGUUGUAAACCGCUUUCGCCUGUGACGAAGCGUGAGUGACGGUAAUGGGUAAAGAAGCACCGGCUAACUACGUG
RNAcentral lists this ribosomal RNA (468 nucleotides) under uncultured bacterium. Its description in RNAcentral is "partial 16S ribosomal RNA". It matches the Rfam family "Bacterial small subunit ribosomal RNA", at positions 28 to 507 of the family's 1533-position model. The record is from RNAcentral.